Molecule: ribosomal RNA, 253 nt
Filed under: uncultured bacterium
Lineage: Bacteria
Description: partial 16S ribosomal RNA
Rfam family: Bacterial small subunit ribosomal RNA
Source: RNAcentral
UACGGAGGGUGCAAACGUUGUCCGGAAUCACUGGGCGUAAAGCGCAUGUAGGUGGCUUUAUAAGUAGGCGAUUAAAGACCGAUGCUUAACAUCGGACCAGUUGUCUAAACUGUAUGGCUUGAGGAUGACAGGGGUAAGCGGAACUUUAGGUGUAGGAGUGAAAUCCGUAGAUAUCUAAAGGAACACCAGUGGCGAAGGCGAGUCUCUGGACAUUUCCUGACGCUGAGGCACGAAAGCCAGGGGAGCAAACGGG